AUACGGAGGGAGCAAGCGUUAUUCGGAAUCACUGUGCGUAAAGGACGCGUAGGCGGGUUUGUAAGUCAGGUGUGAAAUCCUACAGCUCAACUGUAGAACUGCACUUGAAACUACAGACCUAGAGUAUGGAAGGGGCAGAUGGAAUUAGUGGUGUAGAGGUAAAAUACGUAGAUAUCACUAGGAAUACCGAAAGCGAAGGCGAUCUGCUGGGACAUUACUGACGCUGAGGCGUGAAAGCGUGGGGAGCAAACAGGAUUAGAAACCCCGGUAGUCC
This 274-nucleotide ribosomal RNA is filed under the name uncultured bacterium. RNAcentral's name for it is "partial 16S ribosomal RNA". It matches the Rfam family "Bacterial small subunit ribosomal RNA", at positions 523 to 796 of the family's 1533-position model. The record is from RNAcentral.